Molecule: transfer RNA, 52 nt
Filed under: Proasellus jaloniacus
Lineage: Eukaryota; Metazoa; Arthropoda; Malacostraca; Isopoda; Asellidae
Description: transfert RNA-C(TGC)
Source: RNAcentral
GGUUUAUAAUUAAAGUAAAUUGCAAAUUUACUUGAGCUUAGAGCGUAAGCCU